ACGGGACACCUGCAUCUGCCAACAAGACUGGAAGCAGAAAGGGACAGAGACGGCGAAGUUUGACGGUCUGGAAAGCAGAGACCAGCAGGGCUGACUGCUUGGGAGCACCAAAUAUCCGGACAGCGCCUCUCGGGAGGUCCGAGAAGAGAACCGCGAUCUGUUUCAGCACCGGGGCUCAGGACAGUUCCCAGCGGGCUCCGUUUCGUCUCCAGAACCCUGGACAGCUCCUCCAGACUUCGGUGAGAAACCUUGUGCCAAGCAUUUUACAUACAUCAUAUCAUGCCAUCUUCAACCCUAGGACAUGGGUGUUACUGUGCCCAUGUGACAUUUGGGGAACCCAAGGCCCUGAGAAAGGCAGAAAAAUAACCCACGCAGGGACUCUCAGCCCACAAGUGAAGCUAACCGGGAAUGGAAAACAGGGAGGCAGCACAGAGGCAGGAAACUCAGGUGUCAUAGCUUGGCUCAGCCUCAGGGCUUUUGCCUCUGCUGUUCCUGCAGCUUGGAAUGCACUCCCUCCACCUCCAACCAGAGCUCCCCACAACUGACCCUGCCUUCUUCUGCAAGCUCCAUUUCAUCAAGGGAAACGAUCCUUAUUGCCUCACCAUUUCCCACGUGAAGUCUGUAUUGACAUUCUCAUAGACCUGGGAUAUUGUGUCUGCAGCACAUAGUCCAAUUAUUUUCAUGUUAUCUACUGACAGGUCUAUUUGUCUCCCUGUUACACUGUGAGCUCCGUGAGGGCAGAAACAAUGUUAGUAUUUUCACUGCUGUGUCCCCAGCGCCUGGUCCGGGGCCCGGCACACAGCAGGCAUAUAAUAAGCAUGUGUUGAAUCAAUAAAGGCAUCAAAGAAUAAACCAAUACAUCAAUCAAUAAA
This 872-nucleotide long non-coding RNA is filed under the name Homo sapiens (human). RNAcentral describes it as "MIR7-3 host gene". The record is from RNAcentral. Lineage: Eukaryota; Metazoa; Chordata; Mammalia; Primates; Hominidae.